CAAAUAUGGGACUUUCCUCAAAAUUAAAGAGCUUUCCAUUUAUUUUAGCUUGAUUGGGCUUGAUUUUUUCCAUAUGAAUUGUUAUUUCAUUGUUACACAGAGGUAUGUCCUUCCAUCUUUUAAUUUAGAACAGUUACACAAGUCGAA
This is a non-coding RNA of Pseudonaja textilis, 147 nucleotides long. NCBI's taxonomy places the organism in Eukaryota, Metazoa, Chordata, Lepidosauria, Squamata, Elapidae. The record is from RefSeq and is a predicted model, not a curated record.